RNAcentral lists this unclassified non-coding RNA (146 nucleotides) under uncultured Hyaloscyphaceae. RNAcentral's name for it is "sequence contains ITS2". The record is from RNAcentral. Lineage: Eukaryota; Fungi; Ascomycota; Leotiomycetes; Helotiales.
CAACCCUCAAGCAAUGCUUGGUAUUGGGCUUCGCUACUCACUUAGCGGGCCUUAAAAUCAGUGGCGGUGCCGUCGGGGCUCUGAGCGUAGUAAAUAUCCUCGCUACAGAGACUUGGUGGACGCUGGCCAUCAACCCCCCUCUCUAA